GCCCCGGUGGUGGGGAGGAGCCUAGAGGAGGCCGACGCGGGGAGUAACCCGAGCGCUGCGUUUAUAUAAGGGCCGCGGUGGGUAAAGAAGGGGCCUUACCUCUGCUGGUGACCAGAAGGCUGCGUUUCCAAAUUCUGCUUGUUAACUCCCAGCCUCAGAUCUGAAAGGCUUCAACUCUGUACCCUAGAUCACAAGAAGAGAGUCACCCUUUAACAGUAGAAGUCACCAUGGUCGAUACAGAGAUGCCAUUCUGGCCCACCAACUUUGGGCUCAGCUCCAUGGACCUGUCGGUGAUGGACGAUCACUCGCACUCCUUUGACAUCAAGCCCUUCACCACGGUGGACUUCUCCAGCAUCUCAACACCACACUAUGAAGACAUACCGUUCCCCAGGGUGGACCCGAUGGUUGCCGAUUAUAAAUAUGACCUGAAGCUGCAGGAGUACCAAAAUGCCAUCAAGGUAGAGCCUGCAUCGCCCCCAUACUAUUCUGAAAAGACUCAGCUGUACAAUAGGCCUCACGAGGAGCCCUCCAACUCGCUCAUGGCCAUCGAGUGCCGCGUGUGUGGGGACAAGGCCUCUGGCUUCCACUACGGAGUCCACGCCUGUGAAGGGUGCAAGGGUUUCUUCCGGAGGACCAUCCGAUUGAAGCUUAUUUAUGAUAGGUGUGAUCUUAACUGUCGGAUCCACAAAAAGAGUAGAAAUAAAUGUCAGUACUGUCGGUUUCAGAAGUGCCUUGCGGUGGGGAUGUCUCAUAAUGCCAUCAGGUUUGGGCGGAUGCCACAGGCUGAGAAAGAGAAACUGUUGGCUGAGAUCUCCAGUGACAUCGACCAGCUGACCCCAGAGUGUGCAGACCUCCGGGCCCUGGCCAAGCACCUGUAUGACUCAUACAUCAAGUCCUUCCCUCUGACCAAAGCCAAGGCCCGGGCGAUUUUGACAGGAAAGACCACGGACAAAUCACCAUUUGUCAUCUAUGAUAUGAAUUCCCUGAUGAUGGGUGAAGACAAGAUCAAGUUCAAGCACAUGACACCCCUGCAGGAGCAGAGCAAGGAGGUGGCCAUCCGCAUCUUCCAGGGCUGCCAGUUCCGCUCGGUGGAGGCCGUGCAAGAGAUCACGGAGUAUGCCAAGAGCAUCCCAGGCUUCGUGGGCCUCGACCUCAAUGACCAGGUGACCCUGCUCAAGUAUGGUGUGCACGAGAUCAUCUACACCAUGCUGGCCUCAUUGAUGAACAAGGACGGCAUGCUCAUCUCUGAGGGCCAGGGCUUCAUGACCCGCGAGUUCCUCAAGAGCCUGCGGAAGCCCUUUAGUGACUUUAUGGAACCUAAAUUUGAAUUUGCCGUGAAGUUCAAUGCACUGGAACUGGACGACAGUGACCUGGCCAUAUUUAUAGCCGUCAUCAUCCUCAGUGGAGACAGGGUCUUCCUGUGUUAUGCAAGCUGGCCUUGAACUCUUGGACUCAAGCUAACCUCCCGCCUCAGCCUCCCAAGUGCUGGGACUCAAGGUACAGACCACCACUCCUGGCUCCUGCCUGGUGACCCUGAACUGACUGUGUGUCCCCAGUCCCCUCAUUCUAGAAGGGCCCCCGACUUGGCCAACACCUCUGCACUGGCUCCGACAUCUGCUAAGUGGGCUUUUCAGAGCCUCAGAACAGCCUUCCAUGAUGCUGUGUGGAAAGGGACGUUGCACAAGGAGCCGGGGACAGAGUGCCUGCCCACCAGACAAUGCUUCUAGACAAACAGCCGCUUCCUCCGUUAAUGAGUCCUGUGGAAUGCAGAUGAGAUUUUUUCCUCCUCCUUUUUGCUGAUUAAGUUCCCCCAAAACCCCCUUAAGGAUUUUAAUAAGAAAUGCAAAAAUCAACAAAAGUCCGGCAAAGCCUUUCCUGUUAUUAAAUAAAGGGAAAGUAAAUAUUGCAAAUUAGA
Molecule: RNA transcript, 1915 nt
Organism: Cavia porcellus (domestic guinea pig)
Lineage: Eukaryota; Metazoa; Chordata; Mammalia; Rodentia; Caviidae
Gene: Pparg
Gene name: peroxisome proliferator activated receptor gamma
Exons: 9
Source: RefSeq, a predicted model, not a curated record